Long non-coding RNA from Lynx canadensis (Canada lynx), 106 nucleotides. RefSeq lists it as uncharacterized. The transcript has 3 exons. The record is from RefSeq and is a predicted model, not a curated record. NCBI's taxonomy places the organism in Eukaryota, Metazoa, Chordata, Mammalia, Carnivora, Felidae.
UUUUUUUCCUUAAUAUUGUGGUAUUGGCUAUUCUGGAUCUUUUGUUUCUCCAUAUAAACUUAGAAUUGGUUUGUCAAUAUCCACAAAAUAUCUUGCUGAGAUUUUG